Molecule: small RNA, 99 nt
Filed under: Flavobacterium limicola
Lineage: Bacteria; Pseudomonadati; Bacteroidota; Flavobacteriia; Flavobacteriales; Flavobacteriaceae
Description: Flavo-1 RNA
Rfam family: Flavo-1 RNA
Source: RNAcentral
CACUAGCCCUGAUAGCAGCGGCAUCCUUUUUCUGGCCUCGUCUCGUCUUUUGGGAUGAGACCAGACCAGAAAAAGAUAUAGCGAAUAGCAGGAAAUAGC